RNAcentral lists this ribosomal RNA (423 nucleotides) under uncultured bacterium. Its description in RNAcentral is "bacterial SSU rRNA". It matches the Rfam family "Bacterial small subunit ribosomal RNA", at positions 355 to 776 of the family's 1533-position model. The record is from RNAcentral.
UGAGGAAUAUUGGUCAAUGGCCGGAAGGCUGAACCAGCCAAGCCGCGUGGAGGAAGAAGGCGCAGAGCGUCGCAGACUCCUUUUGUCGGGGGACAAACGGCCGCACGCGUUCGGCCCUGAGGGUACCCGAAGAAAAAGCAUCGGCUAACUCCCUUCCAGCAGCCGCGGUAAUACGGAGGAUGCGAGCGUUAUCCGGAUUCAUUGGGUUUAAAGGGUGCGUAGGCGGCGUCUUAAGCCGGCGGUGAAAUCGCGGGGCUCAACCCCGCCGAGCCGUCGGAACUGGGAUGCUCGAGUGUCGGCGAGGCAUGCGGAAUGCGCGGUGUAGCGGUGAAAUGCAUAGAUAUCGCGCAGAACCCCGAUUGCGAAGGCAGCGUGCCAGCCGCCCACUGACGCUGAGGCACGAAAGCGCGGGUAUCGAACAGG